Molecule: long non-coding RNA, 1939 nt
Organism: Macaca fascicularis (crab-eating macaque)
Lineage: Eukaryota; Metazoa; Chordata; Mammalia; Primates; Cercopithecidae
Source: Ensembl
AUGAAAGCUGUUUGCAGACAACAGCAGGAUGUAUCCAGACUGUCAGGGAUUGAAGAGCCGCUGAGGUCUAGUCACGUGAGCAUUGCUGAGCACCGUGGAAAAACCACCGCCCAUGGGCCCGCGCCUCACAGGUGCAGGGAGUCCUCACUGGACCAUCUGAAUGUGCUGGGAGGCAGGUGGAAGAGACCAUCAGCCACCAUCCCCGGGCCAUCCACGCCACAGGUGAGUCAGCUGAGGCCACACAGGACAAUGACUUGCUCAAGGGUUACUCAGCUGAUUGGGGCUUUCUCCUCUGCCUCAGUUUCACCCCAGAAAAGGUGCUGAUCACAGGCUAAGUCAUGAUAUCCCCAAAUUCACAUGUUGAUGUUCUAACCUCCAAUAACUCAGAAUGUGAUGAAAUAAGGAAAUAAAAAAUUUCAAAUAAGGAAAUACAGUGGUUGAAGACUCAGUUAGUUAAGGCAAGGUCAUAGUGAAGUCAGGUGGGCCCCUAAUCCAAUGUGACAGGUGUCCUUGUAAAGUGGGGACAUUGGACACACCAGGGAGGCAAGAGGCCAUGCACAUCUGCUGUUUAAGCUGCUCCGUCUGUGUGGCAUUGUUGUGGCAGCCCCAGCAAGCAAAUCCAGUGCCCAAACCUGGGGGACUGCUCCCGCCCCUGGACUCUGCCCUCUUGAGCCUCCCACUAUGACCCCUAGCUUUUGUCUCCUUACUUGGCCCUCUGGCUGAACAACUCCUCUUUCUCUUCCCGCUGCUUCCAAACCUCGUAUUGUGCUCUGUGUUCCAAAAUGACCCAGCCCGCAUCACUUCCCAAACAAAUCUAUUUUUUCAGAAAGUUGAAUUCUAGCAGAAGGCAGCAGGAAAGCAGCCUGAUCAAGCUGAUUCACACUAAGGGUGAGUGACUAACACAUGGGUAGUGUGAUUCCAGGGAAUGGCCUCACUUAGCUCUUCCAGGACACUUACAUGUUCAAAGAGGAGUUUGUUAAUUCCUAAAGAGGCCCUUUUGCCAAUGGAGAUUAUUUUAUAAUGUGAAUGUUUGUCCCCAUUACAAGUGACUCAGUUAACAAGUUAGCAUGUUUUCUUUUUGUGUCUGUGCUGCUGACUCAGGGGCCUAGGACUGGCUCUGGCUUCUUACAGGCAGGUGUCCUCUUUGGAGGCCACCCCUAGCAUCCCCACUGACAGUGGAAGCCUGAGCCCUCUUUCCCACUUUCCUCCUCAGUAGGAAGGACCAAGACCACAGCCCUGCCCAGUGCUCCCUGCCUCUUGUCCCCACGCCCCCGUGGCUCCACUCUGGUUUUGUAAGAGUGGGCUUACUCGUUCGCUGUGAUAGGGCUGCUUUUAGCCUCCCUGACCAGACAGGUUGCCCCUGGGGCUGAAUGUGUAGCCUCCUGCGAGUGGGGCUGUGUGGAAGUGGUGAUGCCCAGGAAGUGUGGCACGGGGCACUGCACGUCUGACUUUAAUAAGCUAUGGCCUUCAGCUGUGGAAGCCUGGUGGUGUGGGGAACUGAGGAGUUCUGGGAGGAGGUUGGGGGCAAGGGGCUGCCUUCCAGGCAGGGUGCAGGAGCCUUGGAGAAGGUGCUAGAAGCUGGAGUUCCUGUGCCAAGGCCUGGGAAGGCAGGCAGAGUCCUGGCUGGUGGAGUCAUGGAUAGGGGCUGGGGUGGGUGUGGGGCUGGAUGGUUUGUCCUGCUCCCAUGCCAGCCUCCCUCUGGGUUGGUGGGCCCCUCCUGAAGUCUUGGUGUACCUGGACCUGGGUUAAGCCACACUGCAGGGAGGUACAUGUGUACAAAGUGAUCUUUCUUCCAGAAGAACACAGUCUACGAAGGCAUUUCUGCAAACUUGUGAGAUGCCUGUGCACACCUUGUGGUGGUCCUGAACUGAUGGCUGAGGUGUGCUGUAGAAAUUAGAGGAGAGAGGAAGAAGUUCAUUGCUGGUUGAGCAGUUCAGGG